AACGAACGCUGGCGGCGUGCUUAACACAUGCAAGUCGAGCGAGAAAGGGGGGGCAACCCCCUGAGUAGAGCGGCGCACGGGUGAGUAACGCGUGGGUAACCUACCCCCAGGCGGGGGAUAACCACUCGAAAGGGUGGCUAAUACCGCAUGAGACCACGGGAUCUUCGGAUCCUGAGGCUAAAGAUUGCACCGGCUUGCCGGUGCCGUCACCAGGGGAUGGGCCCGCGUCCGAUUAGCUAGUUGGCGAGGUAAUGGCUCACCAAGGCUACGAUCGGUAGCUGGUCUGAGAGGAUGAUCAGCCACACUGGAACUGAAACACGGUCCAGACUCCUACGGGAGGCAGCAGUGAGGAAUAUUGCGCAAUGGGGGAAACCCUGACGCAGCAACGCCGCGUGGGUGAAGAAGGCCUUCGGGUCGUAAAGCCCUUUCGGACGGGACGAACGCUUCGCGGUGAAAGCCGCGAAGUCUGACGGUACCG
Molecule: ribosomal RNA, 478 nt
Filed under: uncultured Pseudomonadota bacterium
Lineage: Bacteria; Pseudomonadati; Pseudomonadota
Description: bacterial SSU rRNA
Rfam family: Bacterial small subunit ribosomal RNA
Source: RNAcentral